Molecule: ribosomal RNA, 384 nt
Filed under: uncultured bacterium
Lineage: Bacteria
Description: bacterial SSU rRNA
Rfam family: Bacterial small subunit ribosomal RNA
Source: RNAcentral
AUUGAACGCUGGCGGAAUGCUUUACACAUGCAAGUCGAACGGUAGAGGGGGCAACCCCUUGAGAGUGGCGAACGGGUGAGUAAUAUAUCGGAACGUGCCCAGUCGUGGGGAUAACGUAGCGAAAGUUACGCUAAUACCGCAUACGAUCUACGGAUGAAAGCGGGGGAUCGCAAGACCUCGCGCGAUUGGAGCGGCCGAUAUCAGAUUAGGUAGUUGGUGAGGUAAAGGCUCACCAAGCCGACGAUCUGUAGCUGGUCUGAGAGGACGACCAGCCACACUGGGACUGAGACACGGCCCAGACUCCUACGGGAGGCAGCAGUGGGGAAUUUUGGACAAUGGGCGGCAAGCCUGAUCCAGCAAUGCCGCGUGCAGGAUGAAGGCCUC